UACGGGGGGGGCAAGCGUUGUUCGGAAUUACUGGGCGUAAAGGGCUCGUAGGCGGCCAACUAAGUCAGACGUGAAAUCCCUCGGCUUAACCGGGGAACUGCGUCUGAUACUGGAUGGCUUGAGUUUGGGAGAGGGACGCGGAAUUCCAGGUGUAGCGGUGAAAUGCGUAGAUAUCUGGAGGAACACCGGUGGCGAAGGCGGCGUCCUGGACCAACACUGACACUGAGGAGCGAAAGCUGGGGGAGCAAACAGG
RNAcentral lists this ribosomal RNA (253 nucleotides) under uncultured bacterium. Its description in RNAcentral is "partial 16S ribosomal RNA". It matches the Rfam family "Bacterial small subunit ribosomal RNA", at positions 524 to 776 of the family's 1533-position model. The record is from RNAcentral.